GGAAUAUCACACGCGAAAGGAUUUCCACCUCUAUUGUCACCGUUUAUCGUGGACAAAUCUACAUUAUGAUUGUCCCUCACAUUUGAAGCCUUAAUCUCAUCGUUGUUAUCAAAAAAUAUAGAGUCAUCGAGUUCAGGAACUUCCCAGAAUUUAUUCCCAUCUUUUCUGUCGCACGCCAAAGGGUCUUCCCUAUUGUCGUGGA
Molecule: unclassified non-coding RNA, 202 nt
Filed under: Hevea brasiliensis (rubber tree)
Lineage: Eukaryota; Viridiplantae; Streptophyta; Magnoliopsida; Malpighiales; Euphorbiaceae
Source: RNAcentral